Molecule: ribosomal RNA, 399 nt
Filed under: uncultured bacterium
Lineage: Bacteria
Description: bacterial SSU rRNA
Rfam family: Bacterial small subunit ribosomal RNA
Source: RNAcentral
UAUUGGGCCAUGGGCGCAAGCCUGACCCAGCAACGCCGCGUGAAGGAAGAAGGCCCUCGGGUUGUAAACUCCUUUUAUCAGGGCCGAAACAAAUGACGGUACCUGAUGAAUAAGCCACGGCUAACUACGUGCCAGCAGCCGCGGUAAAACGUAGGUGGCAAGCGUUAUCCGGAUUUACUGGGUGUAAAGGGCGUUUAGGCGGGAGAGCAAGUCAGACGUGAAAUUCCAGGGCUCAACCCUGGAACUGCGUUUGAAACUGUUCUUCUUGAGUGAUGGAGAGGCAGGCGGAAUUCCGUGUGUAGCGGUGAAAUGCGUAGAUAUACGGAGGAACACCAGUGGCGAAGGCGGCCUGCUGGACAUUAACUGACGCUGAGGCGCGAAAGCGUGGGGAGCAAACAG